GACGAACGCUGGCGGCGUGCUUAACACAUGCAAGUCGAACGGAAAGGCCCUGCUUUUGUGGGGUGCUCGAGUGGCGAACGGGUGAGUAACACGUGAGUAACCUGCCCUUGACUUUGGGAUAACUUCAGGAAACUGGGGCUAAUACCGGAUAGGAGCUCCUGCUGCAUGGUGUGGGUUGGAAAGUUUCGGCGGUUGGGGAUGGACUCGCGGCUUAUCAGCUUGUUGGUGGGGUAGUGGCUUACCAAGGCUUUGACGGGUAGCCGGCCUGAGAGGGUGACCGGCCACAUUGGGACUGAGAGACGGCCCAGACUCCUACGGGAGGCAGCAGUGGGGAAUAUUGCACAAUGGGCGGAAGCCUGAUGCAGCAACGCCGCGUGCGGGAUGACGGCCUUCGGGUUGUAAACCGCUUUCGCCUGUGACGAAGCGUGAGUGACGGUAAUGGGUAAAGAAGCACCGGCUAACUACGUG
Molecule: ribosomal RNA, 468 nt
Filed under: uncultured bacterium
Lineage: Bacteria
Description: partial 16S ribosomal RNA
Rfam family: Bacterial small subunit ribosomal RNA
Source: RNAcentral